Molecule: ribosomal RNA, 253 nt
Filed under: uncultured bacterium
Lineage: Bacteria
Description: partial 16S ribosomal RNA
Rfam family: Bacterial small subunit ribosomal RNA
Source: RNAcentral
UACGGAGGGGGCAAGCGUUGUUCGGAAUUACUGGGCGUAAAGGGCGCGUAGGCGGCCUUCUAAGUCGAACGUGAAAUCCCUGGGCUCAACCCAGGAACUGCGUCCGAUACUGGCAGGCUUGAAUCCGGGAGAGGGAUGCGGAAUUCCAGGUGUAGCGGUGAAAUGCGUAGAUAUCUGGAGGAACACCGGUGGCGAAGGCGGCAUCCUGGACCGGCAUUGACACUGAGGCGCGAAAGCCAGGGGAGCAAACGGG